This 1071-nucleotide long non-coding RNA is filed under the name Canis lupus familiaris (dog). RNAcentral's name for it is "lncRNA (ENSCAFG00000052276.1)". The stretch from base 321 to 411 matches the Rfam family "mir-8799 microRNA precursor family". The record is from RNAcentral. Lineage: Eukaryota; Metazoa; Chordata; Mammalia; Carnivora; Canidae.
CUUUAAGUCCCUUGGCUUCUCCUGGAAGUUGUCCGUCUAGCUGAUCUUCUGGGGGAGGGGCCUGUUGUGCUGAUUUUCAGGUGUUAGCAGUUGGGGGAGCUGCUGUGCCCCUGCCUGGUGCAGGGCUCGGUGGGGGUUGUUUACCCCGUGAGGCCGCAGGAGGAACAGCCCCAGUGGCGGGGCAGCUCUGGAAACCUGGAUUCAGCUCCGGCAGGAACUCCGUCUGCAGGGCCUGGAGGCUCCGGGGCGGGGCCGCUGAUCUGCUCAGCUGGGGCAGGAGCGUCCUCGCUGUCCUGGGCCCUCCCGGCCUCUGCCUGUCCCGGGGGAGGCGGGAUCCUGGGCUGUGUCCCGGCGGCCUGUGCUCCGGAGCCUGCGCUGUUGGAUUCGCGCUCCCGGGCCGCGCAGCCCCCUCCGCGGAGCCGCCGCCCAAGUCCCUCCGAGCUGCUCCUGGAACCGCGCAGCCCCCUCUGCACGGAGCCUCUUCCUCUGCCCGAGCCCCUCCGCGCUGCUCCCGGGGCCGCGCAGCCCCCUCCGCGGAGCCGCCGCCCGAGCCCCUUCAGCUGCUCCGGGUCCCGCCGGGUCCCGCCGUGCGCGCUGCAGCCCUUAGGGAGGGAGCUCGGCGCACUCUCCUGGGCGCGCAGUUGCUGUUACUGUCCCAGGGAACCCGAGGGCAUCCCCGCCCUCCUGGGUCCUGCUCCACCUCCCCGCGAGCCCCUUUCCCCCGGGAAGGUCGGUGCAGCUCCUGCUCCUCCGGGACGGGGCUCUCCUGUCCUGGGGACACUCGCCCCGGCCUCAGCCCGGCUCCUCGCGGGCCCCUCCCCCUUGGAGGCCUUUGUUUCUUUAUUUCUUUUUCCCCGUCUUCCUACCUUGAUAGAAGCGCGAACUCUUCUCACUGUUGCAUUCCAGCUGGUCUCUCUUUAAAUCUCAGGCCGAAUUCAUAGAUUUUCAGGAUAAUUUGAAGGUUUUCUAGGUAGUUUGGUGGAGACAGGUGAUUUGGGGACCCUACUCUUCCGCCAUCUUGCUCCUCCCCCUUGAUAACAAGGGGUUUUGCCAAGAUAGUAGCAAUUUACG